UGCCAAUUAAGACCAGGCAUCCUGUCUUCCUGUUUUAAUCCCAGAGCCAGUAAUGGUGAACCCACUGGGGUGACUGGGAAAUGGGAUGAGCACUGGUUCUGUGAGGAAUGGUCUAACGUGC
Small nucleolar RNA from Lepus europaeus (European hare), 121 nucleotides. RefSeq annotates it as small nucleolar RNA SNORD22. Lineage: Eukaryota; Metazoa; Chordata; Mammalia; Lagomorpha; Leporidae. The transcript has a single exon. The record is from RefSeq and is a predicted model, not a curated record.